Long non-coding RNA from Drosophila ficusphila, 311 nucleotides. RefSeq lists it as uncharacterized. NCBI's taxonomy places the organism in Eukaryota, Metazoa, Arthropoda, Insecta, Diptera, Drosophilidae. The record is from RefSeq and is a predicted model, not a curated record. The transcript has 2 exons.
UAGCAGUUUACUUAUUGUCAAAAUUAACAAGCUACAUCGGAAAAGUUUUGAAAUUUCAUAUUGGUGAAAAUGAAUUCGUAUUUUCUCCAAUGCCUGACUGUUCUCAGUCUGGUAAUGACUAUUGUGGCUUUUCCAAUACCGAAAGAUCCGCUGGCUUUGGCAAUUGCCACCGAACCUGAUAUGGAUUUUCCGGAUAUUGAUCUUUGGAUGGCUUAAAUGAAUUUCCGCAGCCACUGCUUCUACUCUUCUUUUUGGUUCUCCACAUAUUUGGAACAAAAAAUUUAAUUAAAACAAACAAUAUGUUACCUAAA